AUGCAGUGGGCUGCUAACAGAAGGGCUGGCAAGUGCUCAGUCCAAAAUGGAGGCCCUGAGUUCAGAGCCCAGAAGAUUGAUCCGAGGAGCCAGCUGAUGCGGCCUGAGGACAGCAGACUGGUUGUGGGCACGUGGCAGAGAGCAACUAUCAAGGUACUGGAGAAGGCGGCUCCAAGACUAGUAUUUCUUCCUGUCAUCCUCAAACGCAAUAAAAGAGACUGGGAAUAG
Molecule: long non-coding RNA, 228 nt
Filed under: Anser brachyrhynchus (Pink-footed goose)
Lineage: Eukaryota; Metazoa; Chordata; Aves; Anseriformes; Anatidae
Description: lncRNA (ENSABRG00000000304.1)
Source: RNAcentral